RNAcentral lists this ribosomal RNA (483 nucleotides) under Amphistegina lobifera. RNAcentral describes it as "SSU rRNA". It matches the Rfam family "Eukaryotic small subunit ribosomal RNA", at positions 1222 to 1691 of the family's 1831-position model. Lineage: Eukaryota; Foraminifera; Rotaliida; Amphisteginidae. The record is from RNAcentral.
GUCCGGACCGAUUCUAUGAUCGUCGUACUGUGGGGUGCUACGUGAUUACUGGAUGAGUGGUGCAUGGCCGUUCUUAGUUCGUGGUGUUAAUUGUCUACUUAAUUGUCAUCGGUUCUCGUAUCAUGCGAGAAUUAAUAACGAACGAGAUCGAGACCCGUGGUUGCGUAUGUUUGAAUUCGGUAUUACUACGGGGAUCGCGUAACACUCCACGGUACGAUCGAAAGACUCGGCAAUAACAGGUCUGUGAUGCCCUCAGAUGUUCUAGGCUGCACACGUGCUACAGUGUGGCGUUGUAUCGUGUGUGUAUGCAGAGAACUGAUAAGAUCCCCCGCACCGAGUCAUAAUUGGUCACACGGUUGGACUCACCGAUUGUCAAUUAUUCGGUAUACUAACUAGGAAUGCCUCGUACCGGGUCGGUUCAACGAGACCCCCUGGAAUCCGUCCCUGCCCUUUGUACACACCGCCCGUCGCUCUUACCGAUGG